GCAUAUCAAUAAGCGGAGGAAAAGAAACCAACAGGGAUUGCCCUAGUAACGGCGAGUGAAGCGGCAACAGCUCAAAUUUGAAAUCUGGCCUCGGCCCGAGUUGUAAUUUGUAGAGGAAGCUUUUGGCACGGCACCUGCUGAGUCCCCUGGAACGGGGCGCCAUAGAGGGUGAGAGCCCCGUAUAGCAGGACGCCUAGCCUCUGUAAAGCUCCUUCGACGAGUCGAGUAGUUUGGGAAUGCUGCUCAAAAUGGGAGGUAAAUUUCUUCUAAAGCUAAAUACCGGCCAGAGACCGAUAGCGCACAAGUAGAGUGAUCGAAAGAUGAAAAGCACUUUGAAAAGAGGGUUAAAUAGCACGUGAAAUUGUUGAAAGGGAAGCGCUUGUGACCAGACUCGCGCCGGGCUGAUCAUCCGAGCUUCUGCUCGGUGCACUCUGCCCGGCUCGGGCCAGCAUCGGUUCUUGCGGGGGGAUAAAGGCCCUGGGAACGUAGCUCCUCCGGGAGUGUUAUAGCCCGGGGUGUAAUGCCCUCGCGGGGACCGAGGACCGCGCUCGGCAAGGAUG
RNAcentral lists this ribosomal RNA (560 nucleotides) under Cladorrhinum foecundissimum. RNAcentral's name for it is "partial 28S ribosomal RNA". It matches the Rfam family "Eukaryotic large subunit ribosomal RNA", at positions 38 to 625 of the family's 3401-position model. The record is from RNAcentral. Lineage: Eukaryota; Fungi; Ascomycota; Sordariomycetes; Sordariales; Podosporaceae.